Molecule: ribosomal RNA, 909 nt
Filed under: uncultured Gammaproteobacteria bacterium
Lineage: Bacteria; Pseudomonadati; Pseudomonadota; Gammaproteobacteria
Description: bacterial SSU rRNA
Rfam family: Bacterial small subunit ribosomal RNA
Source: RNAcentral
AUUGAACGCUGGCGGCAGGCCUAACACAUGCAAGUCGAGCGGAAACGAGUUAUCUGAACCUUCGGGGAACGAUAACGGCGUCGAGCGGCGGACGGGUGAGUAAUGCCUAGGAAAUUGCCCUGAUGUGGGGGAUAACCAUUGGAAACGAUGGCUAAUACCGCAUAACGCCUACGGGCCAAAGAGGGGGACCUUCGGGCCUCUCGCGUCAGGAUAUGCCUAGGUGGGAUUAGCUAGUUGGUGAGGUAAGGGCUCACCAAGGCGACGAUCCCUAGCUGGUCUGAGAGGAUGAUCAGCCACACUGGAACUGAGACACGGUCCAGACUCCUACGGGAGGCAGCAGUGGGGAAUAUUGCACAAUGGGCGCAAGCCUGAUGCAGCCAUGCCGCGUGUGUGAAGAAGGCCUUCGGGUUGUAAAGCACUUUCAGUCGUGAGGAAGGUAGUGUAGUUAAUAGCUGCACUAUUUGACGUUAGCGACAGAAGAAGCACCGGCUAACUCCGUGCCAGCAGCCGCGGUAAUACGGAGGGUGCGAGCGUUAAUCGGAAUUACUGGGCGUAAAGCGCAUGCAGGUGGUUUGUUAAGUCAGAUGUGAAAGCCCGGGGCUCAACCUCGGAAUUGCAUUUGAAACUGGCAGACUAGAGUACUGUAGAGGGGGGUAGAAUUUCAGGUGUAGCGGUGAAAUGCGUAGAGAUCUGAAGGAAUACCGGUGGCGAAGGCGGCCCCCUGGACAGAUACUGACACUCAGAUGCGAAAGCGUGGGGAGCAAACAGGAUUAGAUACCCUGGUAGUCCACGCCGUAAACGAUGUCUACUUGGAGGUUGUGGCCUUGAGCCGUGGCUUUCGGAGCUAACGCGUUAAGUAGACCGCCUGGGGAGUACGGUCGCAAGAUUAAAACUCAAAUGAAUUGACGG